UACGGGGGGGGCAAGCGUUGUUCGGAAUUACUGGGCGUAAAGCGUGCGCAGGCGGCCAUGCAAGACAGAUGUGAAAUCCCCGGGCUCAACCUGGGAAUGGCAUUUGGGACUGCAAGGCUUGAGUGUGGCAGAGGAGACUGGAAUUCCUGGUGUAGCAGUGAAAUGCGUAGAUAUCAGGAGGAACACCGAUGGCGAAGGCAGGUCUCUGGGCUAACACUGACGCUCAUGCACGAAAGCGUGGGGAGCAAACAGG
Molecule: ribosomal RNA, 253 nt
Filed under: uncultured bacterium
Lineage: Bacteria
Description: partial 16S ribosomal RNA
Rfam family: Bacterial small subunit ribosomal RNA
Source: RNAcentral